AUCCAGCUGACGAGUCCCAAACAGGACGAAACACGUGUUUAGCAC
Molecule: non-coding RNA, 45 nt
Filed under: Schistosoma mansoni
Lineage: Eukaryota; Metazoa; Platyhelminthes; Trematoda; Strigeidida; Schistosomatidae
Source: RNAcentral